CCAGGUCGCCCGUGACAGGCUAGAGCCCACGUGAAGGGGAGCCACGGCGAUCCAACGGCACGGGUCGGCCGGGCGCCUCUGCGAAACCCUAACCACCAGCGAGGAGACCUUCUUCCCCACGCCGCCACCUCCCGUCUCAACAGCUAACAAGUUGUGGAGAAAUAGGACACACCGAUAAGGAACACCAAGAUGGAUGCCCCUAUUGUGAAGCGAGUCACUUGGGUGAAGAAUGUCCCACUACGCAAGUCACCUGUUUCAUGUGUGAAGGGACUAACCACAAUCCAGCCCAGUGUCGUCUACUCACCACGACACAAGAAGUGGUUCAGCAACAGAGGAAAGGAAUGAAGAAGGUUGUCCAGGAAAUCAUCAUGAAGAGAAAGGCUUUAGUUACUUGCCAUAAGUGUAGGAGCAAGGGGCACUACGCCAACGUGUGUCCAGAAGUGAUCAGAGAUAGAGAAAGAUGGGGGCGCUACUCCAGCCCGUGUCCAGAAAAGAACAGAGGGAGAGGGAGAUGGGGACCUUGGAGCAAACAAGCCCCAUGACUUGUCAGGAGUAAUUUGUUUGAUAUUCUUCCCUUCUGUAAGAAUUCAUUCAGUGGACUAUUCCAAGGGAGCUAAUGUUAGUAAUUGCAGGAUAGCUAUCUGAGGUUAUUCUUCCCUUCCGCAAUAAGGGUAUUAGGAGACUUUACAUUAUCUUGGAGAUGCUGUGUUGAGACGUGCAAUAGCAAUGGAAGAGACUAUACACUUCCUGUGUUGUGCGGUCUUUUGAGCGACGUGAUUGCGAUUUCUUUUGUGAGCAGAAUAUGACUAGUGGGUCCUUGCGCGGUGCUUCGCUGGUACUUUAAUGUGCUGUUUUUUUUUGUAUUUGGCGUAAACUUGUAUGCACUGGGCGCUUCGCUUGUACAUCGUGCUGGUUUUGCAUAUUUAUAAGCUAGUCAUUUUA
This is a long non-coding RNA of Triticum aestivum (bread wheat), 942 nucleotides long. RefSeq lists it as uncharacterized. The transcript is spliced from 2 exons. The record is from RefSeq and is a predicted model, not a curated record. Lineage: Eukaryota; Viridiplantae; Streptophyta; Magnoliopsida; Poales; Poaceae.